CAAUAGCGCAUAUUAAAGUUGUUGCAGUUAAAAAGCUCGUAGUUGGAUUUCUGGGAGGGUGCCGCCGUCCGGCGUGUCCGUGUGCAGUGGCGCCCUUCCAUCCUUCUGUUAGCGUCUCUUGGCAUUCAUUUGCUGGUGGCGGGCUCAGAUAUUUUACCUUGAGAAAAUUUGAGUGUUUCAGGCAGGCUAGGCCGGAAUACAUUAGCAUGGAAUAAUGGAAUAGGACUACGGUCUCUUUGUUGGUUUGAGGGACUGCAGUAAUGAUUAAUAGGGAUAGUUGGGGGCAUUAGUAUUUAAUUGUCAGAGGUGGAAUUCUCAGAUUUGUUAAAGACUAACUUAUGCGAAAGCAUUUGCCAAGGAUGUUUUCAUUA
RNAcentral lists this ribosomal RNA (371 nucleotides) under uncultured eukaryote. Its description in RNAcentral is "partial 18S ribosomal RNA". It matches the Rfam family "Eukaryotic small subunit ribosomal RNA", at positions 592 to 975 of the family's 1831-position model. The record is from RNAcentral.